RNAcentral lists this ribosomal RNA (253 nucleotides) under uncultured bacterium. RNAcentral describes it as "partial 16S ribosomal RNA". It matches the Rfam family "Bacterial small subunit ribosomal RNA", at positions 524 to 776 of the family's 1533-position model. The record is from RNAcentral.
UACGAAGGGGGCGAGCGUUAUUCGGAAUCACUGGGCGUAAAGCGUGCGUAGGCUGUUUGACAAGUUGGGAGUGAAAGCCCAGGGCUCAACCCUGGAAUUGCUCUCAAAACUGUCAGACUUGAAUCUCGGAGAGGAUAGCGGAAUUUCCAGUGUAGUAGUGAAAUACGUAGAUAUUGGAAGGAACACCAGUGGCGCAAGCGGCUAUCUGGACGAGCAUUGACGCUGAGGCACGAAAGCGUGGGGAUCAAACAGG